This 606-nucleotide long non-coding RNA is filed under the name Salmo salar (Atlantic salmon). RNAcentral's name for it is "lncRNA (ENSSSAG00000091624.1, ENSSSAG00020084026.1, ENSSSAG00075041283.1)". Lineage: Eukaryota; Metazoa; Chordata; Actinopteri; Salmoniformes; Salmonidae. The record is from RNAcentral.
GUUAUCCUAACUGAGCUAAGACAGUGAAUCUUUACUCUGAUUAAAUGACAGGAAUUGUGAAGAACUGAGUUUAAAUGUAUUGGUUAAGGUGUAUGUAAACUUCCGACUUCCGAUUUCUGAGCUAUGUAAACAUAUGGGCUAUGAGAAGAAAGGAUUACAACUUUAAUUAAUGCUGUGAUUCGAGGGGUUGGUGUGCACUGGAUAGUUGGCAGCAGUUUAGAGGGGCCCCUUGGUAUCUCACAACUUGCAACUCACAUGGGAUGUCUGGUCAGAACCCAACAACCACAAUGGUCACUAGCUGGACAGAUUCCUCUCGAAAGGGGAGCCCUGUAGAUGAACUGCCUGCCGUGUCUUUGGCUGUAUAGGCGACCAUACAGUGACUCAAGAGAAGAAUGAAUUACACGUGUGAAACCAUGAGUCUUUAUACAUUCAAAGUGGAAUAUAAUGAGAUGUUUCUCCCAAUCUAAUGAUAUUAAAAUCCAAUAAAAGGCCCUCGUAAAAAAAAUCCAGAGAGGUCAACUCAUUCGGUUUGCUGUCAUUUCUUGCUGGUGGGGCUCGGGUGUUUGGAGUCAAAAUAUCCCCUGAGAUCAGACAUACAUAGCUGAG